RNAcentral lists this ribosomal RNA (441 nucleotides) under uncultured bacterium. RNAcentral's name for it is "partial 16S ribosomal RNA". It matches the Rfam family "Bacterial small subunit ribosomal RNA", at positions 338 to 795 of the family's 1533-position model. The record is from RNAcentral.
CCUACGGGUGGCAGCAGUGGGGAAUAUUGCACAAUGGGGGGAAACCCUGAUGCAGCGACGCCGCGUGAAGGAAGACGUAUUUCGGUAUGUAAACUUCUAUUAGCAGGGAAGAAAGUGACGGUACCUGACUAAGAAGCCCCGGCUAACUACGUGCCAGCCGCCGCGGUAAUACGUAGGGGGCAAGCUGUAUCCGGAUUUACUGGGUGGAAAGGGAGCGUAGGCGGCGAUGCACGUCAGAAGUGAAAGCCCGGGGCUCAACUCCGGGACUGCUUGUGAAACUGUAUGGUUAGAUUGCAGGAGAGGCAAGUGGAAUGUCUAGUGUAGCGGUGAAAUGCGGAGAUAUUAGGAGGAACACCAGUGGCGAAGGCGGCUUGCUGGACUGUAAAUGACGCUGAGGCUCGAAAGCGUGGGGAGCAAACAGGAUUAGAUACCCCUGUAGUC